Non-coding RNA from Oryctolagus cuniculus (rabbit), 2250 nucleotides. Lineage: Eukaryota; Metazoa; Chordata; Mammalia; Lagomorpha; Leporidae. The record is from RefSeq and is a predicted model, not a curated record.
GCAUGUUAACACGCUGCGCCACAGUGCCAGCCCCAAUAAAUAUUUUAAAAAAGGUUUCUUUUUCCCAAUAGGAUUGAUGCUCCAGCUAUCUUUUACCUAGCAUUUGUGGGUUUUCUCCCUAAUUAUUUACUUUGAACUAUUUUGCAUCCUUAAGUUUUAGGUAUGCUUCUUGUCAAUGGCAUAUGAUAAGAUGUCCAGCACUGUUUUAUCCUUCUCUGGAAAUUGAAGCUAAGGCCCAGAGCCCAGGACAAGAGAUGUAAAGUGCCCCACGUGUUAAUUCCGGGACAGUCACCUCACGACUGGCGAGGCACGAAUACCCUCUCCCCCGCUCCACAAAUACAGAGAUGUCUGUGAGAUUCCUUCCCUUUCUGCCAGGGGCCAGUCACAGGUGGAGCCAAGCCGCACGCGGUCCCACGUCAGCAGGCAUCGGUACUCCCUCCUUUUUGGAUCCUCAAAGUCAGAAGCGAGAGUUCGCGAAGGCCUAGGCUACAUUCUCGGGGAAGGAAGUGUAAGCAGACCAGGGCAGAGGAAGACGGAUUCGAAGAGCAGACCUCAAUGUCACCCAGUGCCAAGCUGCUGGCACCCCAGACAGAGCUGGCCGGAGCUGGGGUGGCAGGCACGUGGGCUCUGAAUGGGGCUUCACACUGAAAUUCAAAUAUGGUUCCCACUGAGAGUAGAAUGAGGCUCCUCCGACGGCACAAAGUGACUGCAUGUGUUGGAAUUCUGACAAGAUGUCAUUUAGGCACCAAACUGCCAGUGAGAAAAAAAGGUUGACAGAGCACAGUUUCAGGGCAGUCCCUGGAGGAGAACUAUUUUGUGUUUACGCCACAAUGAAUCCUCCCCUAAAACUUCAAAGUGAAGAGCUGGAUCUUUGUUUUGUCUUAUUAUCUGACAAUUUGUUUUUCGACCACAAAGCUUAUUUGUAGUGAACAUAGAUGUAUGUGGAUUUCUCCACCAUUUUGUUUUGUGAUCUUUCCUUUGCUUCUUUCCCUCCUUCCCUAUCUUCUUCAACCAACUUUUCCUCACCCAUCUGGGAGACCCGUCAGAUCGCCGCCUCCCCUCACUCCCCUCCCCGGGGGAUGUAUUUAGAAGCAUCAGCAACAAAGACACAGGUCUAAGAAUGGAACCCACCAAACCGCCUUGGUGCUGGUUAGGUUUUAUUUUAACAAGAUGUUUUCUGUCCAUUUGUUUUUCAAAAUAUCAGUUAUAUCAAUAUUAGAAGUGUAAACAGGUACAAAAUAUACAGUACAUAGAAACAAUUUUCUUAACUAGUCUAUUGCCUAAUAAAAGUACGCAUGAGGGAGCUGAACAAAUGGAUGCCAGGGCCUCUCCUCCACAGGGAGAGGAGGUACUCACUCUGGGAGAGGGCCACAGGCAGUCAACAAAACAGGAAUGGGUAUUCGUGUGGUGGGGACAGCACUGUGGUAGAAUCAAGAAACCUGGGCCUGUUUCUCAUUCCAGCCUGAAGAGAACAGGCUUGGGGGCAAGCCGCAGACUGGGAACUCAGCUCUCACGCUGCCUUCCGAGUACCCCGUGUGGGGGUGCGUGCACUCACCGGGGAAGCUGGGGCGCAGCCAGGCAGCUGCUGCACCCGAAGUUUCUUUGAGGCUUGAUGAUCUGACUCAUGCAGGUGCGGGAUCAAUCUUUUUAGAGGGCGAAAAUGGAAACCUUUUCUCCCCCAAACUGAUGCUCCAAGGGCAGGAGCCGCAUCCCACUGCGGCCCUUCUCAACGCCGGGUGCCCCACUGUGCACCCACAGUGAGACUGAGAUGGUCCCCUUUGAGCCUUUACUCUCUCAUGUCUCAAAGGAAAGAAUGCCUGCCUGCCCCACCUCCUGGAGUCAGGGCGCUGAUCCCGCCAGAGGCACAGGGCAGGAGUGGGCAGUGGCAGCGACACUUUGCUCUUGGCUCCGGGGUGACCACCAGAUGUCUGCGGGCUCCACUCCUCGCCUCAGCUUCUUCACCCUCCCAAGACCAACACUGUGGCUUCUGACAAUGCUGCUUUACAGCCCGGGACUCACUCAACAGGGGCCGUGGCCAAGUUCCCUUCAGAGAGGUACCCCAGGUGGCCCCACAUAGGGAAAGGCCAGACCAUGGCCAGCAGUUGAGGGGGCCUUCCUUUCUGGAUGAAGAGGCAAGCUGGAGUUGUAACAGUGGCUCCUGGGUGGGUCCUUCCUGCCGAGUGGCAGCCCAUGUGCAGACCCGCCCACCCUGGCAGAGCAGGGCCUCAGCUCUCUGGGGGGGGGGGGGGG